RNAcentral lists this ribosomal RNA (163 nucleotides) under Acinetobacter sp. ANC 5045. Its description in RNAcentral is "partial 23S ribosomal RNA". The stretch from base 1 to 143 matches the Rfam family "Bacterial large subunit ribosomal RNA", at positions 2788 to 2925 of the family's 2925-position model. Lineage: Bacteria; Pseudomonadati; Pseudomonadota; Gammaproteobacteria; Moraxellales; Moraxellaceae. The record is from RNAcentral.
GGAAGCCUACCUCAAGAUAAGAUUUCCCCGAGGCUUUAUGCCUCCUAAAGAGCCGUUGAAGACUACGACGUUGAUAGGUUGGAUGUGGAAGCAUAGCGAUAUGUGAAGCUGACCAAUACUAAUUGCUCGUGAGGCUUGACUAUACAACACCCAAACAGUUGGG